CGUAGCCACGGUAAUACGGAGGGUGCAAGCGUUAAUCGGAAUUACUGGGCGUAAAGCGCACGCAGGCGGUCUGACAAGUCAGAUGUGAAAUCCCCGGGCUUAACCUGGGAACUGCAUUUGAAACUGUCAGGCUGGAGUCUUGUAGAGGGGGGUGGAAUUCCAGGUGUAGCGGUGAAAUGCGUAGAGAUCUGGAGGAAUACCGGUGGCGAAGGCGGCCCCCUGGACAAAGACUGACGCUCAGGUGCGAAAGCGUGGGGAGCAAACAGGAUUAGAUACCCCGUGUAGUCCCUGUCUCUUUUAC
This 301-nucleotide ribosomal RNA is filed under the name uncultured bacterium. Its description in RNAcentral is "partial 16S ribosomal RNA". It matches the Rfam family "Bacterial small subunit ribosomal RNA", at positions 510 to 807 of the family's 1533-position model. The record is from RNAcentral.